Molecule: RNA transcript, 3327 nt
Organism: Mauremys mutica (yellowpond turtle)
Lineage: Eukaryota; Metazoa; Chordata; Testudines; Geoemydidae
Gene: LIN52
Gene name: lin-52 DREAM MuvB core complex component
Exons: 7
Source: RefSeq, a predicted model, not a curated record
GGACACGCCUCCUAGGGAGCGGAACGCAGGCGACGCGUGUCGGGGCGGCUCUAGAGGGAGUUACGUGUACGGGUUUCCGCGGGCGGCAGUUGCCCGUCACGUGACUUGGGCAAGAUGGCGGCUCCCACGGAAGGGACCGAUCUGGAAGCCUCCCUGUUGAGCUUUGAGAAGCUGGACCGAGCAUCUCCAGACUUGUGGCCGGAGCAGCUACCAGGUGUUGCUGAAUUUGCUGCUUCCUUCAAAAGUCCUAUCACCAAUUCUCCUCCCAAAUGGAUGGCUGAACUAGAAAAUGAUGAUAUUGAUAUGUUAAAGGAGUUGGGGAGCCUUACCACAGCAAACCUAAUGGAGAAGGUUCGAGGCCUGCAGAACCUGGCUUAUCAGCUAGGACUGGAUGAAUGACACAGGGAGAAGGAUGACUCUUCCUCCACUCUACAUAAAUACCCUCUGGCCUGAAGUAGGCACCAGGCUGGGAGACAGGAAACCGUGAUCGGAGUCCCACUCUUCCUCAGAUUGGCCUUAAUUCUCAGCACUUUGCAACCAUUUUUAUUGGCCUCACAACCAUUCACCAGAAGGAAAGCAACUAGAGAAAUGACUCGAGGGAAGUUCCUGAACAUCCUGGAGAAACCCAAGAAGUAGCUGCUGUUACUGGAAUUCAGGCAAAAAUAUCCCUGUCUGGAUCAUCUCACCCCUCACUGCAGAUCCAGCUGAACACUGUGAUUUCCUAAAGAGAAGGAUAAAGCUCUUGGCUCUAGAGCUUCAGAAGCAAACCUCUCUACUGCUUCCACAGCUCUUCUCCUUACUGACGAGCAGCAUUCCAGACACUGCUCACAAUGAUUGCCAGUAGUUCCAUCAGCACUGAGACUUCAUCCAACCUUUUUGGCACCUGAUUGCCAGGAAAACUCAAAUCUAGCAUGCUGUGGCAAAGUUAUGCAGCAGUCUUUCUAUAAACCAUUCAAAGCAGUACAUCCCCAGUGGCCUCACUCAGUUGCUCUCAGUGGCGGCAUCUAUUAAACCAGGGCCUUUGUGAUGCUGGCCAGUACCUCUGGGUGAUGCAUUGACUCUUCCAUGUGUCUCUCUUGCCUUAGGAACAGUGAUUCCAUGUGUGUAAUUUCCAUGCUGAAAGCACCAUUGCAGUGCUGGUUAUAAGCAGGGUUCUGGAUGAAGACUGACAGUUCUAGGAUUGGUUAGUCCUGGAUCUGCACACUCGUACCCUGCUUACAAGGCAGGUGGAACUUGUUCUGUGUAUUAGAUUCACAUUACUCACACCCUUCAGAGGAGGAUGUCCUGCAAUCAAGCGAAGUCCUUCAAUCCUGUCUGUACUAUUCUGCUCUUCAUUCCACAAAUACUUGCAUCAGGUGCUAUGUGCACAGGGAGCUCCAUCUCGAUGCUAAACAUUUGUGUGUUCUCUUGUUAAACCUAGACCAAUGAACCAUAGGCAGUGAAUGAGAAAAGGUGGCUAUUACUGUGUCAUGAAAGAAAAUAUCCCUGUGGGAACUUCUGCCAGGACACAAACAGAUCUAUCAGCCCACUUUGCAAAUCCAGCUCAGUGAGAGUCCGGCUGAGGUACUGGAGGAAGAUACAGGGUUGAAAGGCAAUAAUGUUUUCAAUUAUAGAGAGCUUCAAGGUGGAGCGACUGUCUUGUUCACACCCCCGUGGGGAUAAUCUUCAUAAACAGCAUCUGCAUGCUUACACUUGAAAAUAGAAUUCUGAUGUUUUCCCACAUUAUUAGAAAACAGCAGCCCCAGAACUUGCUUCACCCGCAAACGUAGAAUGUGCACCCCAUUAAGGGGAGAAUUGUACUGUAAACUAGUAUCCUCCUGUACAGAUUGGGUCUCAUUCAUCUGGUACUGGAGUACUUUUUAGUGCCUUGAGGCCCAUCUGGUACUGGAGUACCUUUUAGUGCCUUUCCUCUUUUAACAUGCUGCUGUGUAUCAGUCCUGUGUUUUCAGAUUUUAUUUUUCUCUAUAAGGUUGACACAGCUCUUAUUUCACUCUGUUUUCUUUUGCCCAGUAAAAUUACGUAUUCUAGAGUUAACAAACUGGCCGUUCCUCAGGGCUAAAAAAUAGUACUAAAGUGCUGGUCCAAGAGCAGUUUUCUCUCUUUGUUUAAACAGUUUCAUACACAUUUUAGCAUGUGUGCCCUUUAAAUUUAGUCAUUCCCCAAUUUGCAGUUGGCUGUGAGGUGUGAAUUGAAUCGGGGCUGUACUUGUACAACAUCAUAUUAAUGGACUGUCCUUGAAGCAUUCUAUUCUUCUGUCUUGGGGCGGACUCUGAUUUUAGGCUCUGUGUGCAUUAGUGAGGAGCAGAUCUCUGCUUGGGAGCAGACUUCUGAUUUUUUACUAAAAUUUUUAAAGUCUUUCUAUCUUCAGUCUGUGGGUGCCUCCAUUUUGUCAACCAGAACUAGGCUAAAUUGGGAAAGCUCCUCUUCACUAAGCUUGCACAAUUAAGACCAUGUUCUGCAAAGACUUACUCAAGUGCUUAACUUUGAGCAUGUGAGCAGUCUGAUUGAACUCAGUGGGGCUGUACUCGUAUGCUUGUCUUUGGAGAAUUGAGGCUUAACAAAGCAGCUGCAUCUCUUGAAAGGAGGGGCAAUAGGAUAGUAGGAGAUGCAGAGAAGCUGAGAGUGGGGAGUCAGAGACAGGGAAGGGACUUGCUUAGUUGCUGGUCAGAAUGGACAUAGAUGUAGCUUUGAAAGUAUUAAUAUAACUUAUAUGUUUGUUGGACAAUAUUAACAUUUGUAUGUCUAGUUUGGAUGUGUUCUGUAUAUAUAGAAUGUGUGGCCCAAAGGUGACUGUUGUGAAUUUUGGUCCUUUGUUGCAUGUUAUGGAGGUCUGCCACUCUAAUGCAUGAGGUGUUUGGGAAGCUGAGAAGUAUAGAGGUAGACCCCGGAAGUUUGCCACGAAUCUGCAUGCCUAUUUUAUGAUCUGGCUGGUAAAAUAUCUCAAACUUCAAGUAGUUGGUACCAUAGCAUGUAAAAAAUCCUUUCUUCUACCCUCACCCUGUGCAGCAGUGCUUAUCUUCUAGCUACGGGCAGCAUGUGUUAUAUGCCUUAGAUUCAAGAUAUUUAUUGGUUGUGUACUUGUCAUGUAUAGAGAUAAUCAGUGAUUUUUUUUAUUGGUAGUAUUUACAUGUAUUUUUGUGUGUUAGAAAGAAGAUUGUAAUCUGUCUGUCUGUUGUUCUGUGUUCUUAUAAUAAACAAGUGCAAAGCUUACAGAAUGGUAUGAGUUUCCUUGAAAUGGCCCUGUGAAAUGUGGAAGCUGUGACCAACCACCUAGGAAAUGUUCCUUAGCAACAGAUUCUCCACCAUUAAAGUUUAAUAGUAAGGCAC